Molecule: ribosomal RNA, 402 nt
Filed under: Bacteroidota bacterium
Lineage: Bacteria; Pseudomonadati; Bacteroidota
Description: Bacteroidetes bacterium partial 16S ribosomal RNA
Rfam family: Bacterial small subunit ribosomal RNA
Source: RNAcentral
UGGGGAAUUUUGCACAAUGGGGGAAACCCUGAUGCAGCGACGCCGCGUGAUUUAGAAGGCCUUCGGGUUGUAAAAAUCUUUUCUAUGGGAAGAAAAUGACAGUACUAUACGAAUAAGGACCGGCUAAUUACGUGCCAGCAGCCGCGGUAAUACGUAAGGUCCGAGCGUUGUCCGGAAUCAUUGGGCGUAAAGGGUACGUAGGCGGGUAAGCAAGUUAGAAGUGAAAUCCUAUAGCUCAACUAUAGUAAGCUUUUAAAACUGCUCAUCUUGAGGUAUGGAAGGGAAAGUGGAAUUCCUAGUGUAGCGGUGAAAUGCGUAGAUAUAUGGAGGAACACCAGUGGCGAAGGCGACUCUCUGGUCUGUAACUGACGCUGAGGCUCGAAAGCGUGGGUAGCAAACAGG